Molecule: transfer RNA, 88 nt
Filed under: Candidatus Phytoplasma gossypii
Lineage: Bacteria; Bacillati; Mycoplasmatota; Mollicutes; Acholeplasmatales; Acholeplasmataceae
Description: tRNA-Leu
Rfam family: tRNA
About the family: Transfer RNA (tRNA) molecules are approximately 80 nucleotides in length. Their secondary structure includes four short double-helical elements and three loops (D, anti-codon, and T loops).
Source: RNAcentral
GCGGAUAUGGCGGAACGGGUAGACGCGCAUGUUUGAGGGGCAUGUGAGAAAUUUUCUCUUAUGAGUUCGAAUCUCAUUAUCCGUACCA